ACAGAGUCAGUCAGCACCAGGUAGAUGCUUUUUUCUGUUCCCCAAAGAAACAUCCCAGGGCACUAGGGCCACGUUGACCUGUUAGGGUGAUGCAGCUGCUCUGGGACACAGAG
Molecule: small nucleolar RNA, 113 nt
Filed under: Microcebus murinus (gray mouse lemur)
Lineage: Eukaryota; Metazoa; Chordata; Mammalia; Primates; Cheirogaleidae
Description: Small nucleolar RNA SNORA77 (ENSMICG00000024540.3)
Source: RNAcentral